This 308-nucleotide ribosomal RNA is filed under the name Bacillus sp. ITRI62. RNAcentral describes it as "bacterial SSU rRNA". It matches the Rfam family "Bacterial small subunit ribosomal RNA", at positions 195 to 492 of the family's 1533-position model. The record is from RNAcentral. Lineage: Bacteria; Bacillati; Bacillota; Bacilli; Caryophanales; Bacillaceae.
GAUGAUUGAAAGAUGGUUUCGGCUAUCACUUACAGAUGGGGCCGCGGUGCAUUAGCUAGUUGGUGAGGUAACGGCUCACCAAGGCAACGAUGCAUAGCCGACCUGAGAGGGUGAUCGGCCACACUGGGACUGAGACACGGCCCAGACUCCUACGGGAGGCAGCAGUAGGGAAUCUUCCGCAAUGGACGAAAGUCUGACGGAGCACCGCCGCGUGAGUGAUGAAGGCUUUCGGGUCGUAAAACUCUGUUGUUAGGGAAGAACAAGUACGAGAGUAACUGCUUGUACCUUGACGGACCAACCAGAAAGCC